AUCAGAACACAGAGCUGUCUGUCGUUCUUUUUUUAGCAAGCAAAGUACUCUCGUUUCGUGGCUCCGGCAUUUUGCUUUUCCAAGAAGUGCUUAGGUGUUAUCAGAACAGGCGGAAUCGAUAACCAUGGACAUGGUACUGGUGCCACCCAUCCGAAAUAGAACCAAGAAAGACCAUCCAGGUCCGGUAGAACAUCAUUCCGGUAAAGUCGAAGCUUGCCAUCGUGCCUACUCACGGUUAUGGAAAACUGAUAUGUAGCAGUCGGAGAUGGCGGUGUACUACCAGUAUCCGGAAGCUGAGGGAAAUUAAGGAAGCGAGACGGGCCCUUUAACCUGCAUUUGGGAAGCAAACCAGACAUACGCAUUUUUAUCCUUACCAACGGAAUGGUCGUCCCCAAUGCCAGCCGGAAUGGUAGGUAAUUUCAAUUGACAUUGGUGUUUGUAGAAGAAAUAUGUGAAUAAAGAAUAUAAUUUAA
Molecule: long non-coding RNA, 473 nt
Organism: Uranotaenia lowii
Lineage: Eukaryota; Metazoa; Arthropoda; Insecta; Diptera; Culicidae
Exons: 2
Source: RefSeq, a predicted model, not a curated record